GAAGAAAUCACCUAGUGUUUUUCUCUUGUGAUCAUUCUUUAAAAAAAAUACUAUCAUCUGGAGCAAGGCAAUUGAAAUGUCCUUCUGGCCAUCAACUACUUGAAUAAAGUGUGCUUCGAAGAAACUUAGCCUUUUUCCUGUUACAGGUCAGCUAAACAAAAUUACAAUAAGUGAAGCAGAAUGGGCAACAGUAAUGAGGUGAUAACAAAUAAACUUUUGAGUUGAAACAUCCAAAGUGCAUUUUGGGUCCUAUCACACAGCUGGACACGUGCUAGACAAGCAUAGUUGAAAAC
RNAcentral lists this unclassified non-coding RNA (293 nucleotides) under Hevea brasiliensis (rubber tree). Lineage: Eukaryota; Viridiplantae; Streptophyta; Magnoliopsida; Malpighiales; Euphorbiaceae. The record is from RNAcentral.